UGCGCGCAAAAUGCAACAAGUCCAAGCACUCGCUUUAGGGAAGUCGGUUAAAAUCCAACACUGCCCCCGCAACGGUAAAAUGAAAAGCUUAUCUUUCAUAAAUCAUAGAGAUUUACAUCACUGCAUAGCCAUGUGGGAAGGUGGAUAAGUAGCUUUAUUAUAAGCACAUUUAAGUCCGGAAACCUGCUUGUUGCCCCUCAACUCA
This 205-nucleotide non-coding RNA is filed under the name Acinetobacter sp. Lineage: Bacteria; Pseudomonadati; Pseudomonadota; Gammaproteobacteria; Moraxellales; Moraxellaceae. The record is from RNAcentral.